Molecule: transfer RNA, 78 nt
Filed under: Phycisphaerae bacterium
Lineage: Bacteria; Pseudomonadati; Planctomycetota; Phycisphaerae
Description: tRNA-OTHER
Source: RNAcentral
GUUUUGCCACAAGGACUUACAAAACACCCGGACGGACUGAAAAUCCGUGUGUCGCCGGUUCAACUCCGGCCCUGCCCA